RNAcentral lists this ribosomal RNA (484 nucleotides) under uncultured bacterium. RNAcentral's name for it is "partial 16S ribosomal RNA". It matches the Rfam family "Bacterial small subunit ribosomal RNA", at positions 30 to 507 of the family's 1533-position model. The record is from RNAcentral.
AUUGAACGCUGGCGGCAGGCCUAACACAUGCAAGUCGAGCGGAUGAAGGGAGCUUGCUCCUGGAUUCAGCGGCGGACGGGUGAGUAAUGCCUAGGAAUCUGCCUGGUAGUGGGGGAUAACGUCCGGAAACGGGCGCUAAUACCGCAUACGUCCUGAGGGAGAGAGUGGGGGAUCUUCGGACCUCACGCUAUCAGAUGAGCCUAGGUCGGAUUAGCUAGUUGGUGGGGUAAAGGCCUACCAAGGCGACGAUCCGUAACUGGUCUGAGAGGAUGAUCAGUCACACUGGAACUGAGACACGGUCCAGACUCCUACGGGAGGCAGCAGUGGGGAAUAUUGGACAAUGGGCGAAAGCCUGAUCCAGCCAUGCCGCGUGUGUGAAGAAGGUCUUCGGAUUGUAAAGCACUUUAAGUUGGGAGGAAGGGCAGUAAGUUAAUACCUUGCUGUUUUGACGUUACCAACAUAAUAAGCACCGGCUAACUACGUG